UACGUAGGGUGCAAGCGUUAAUCGGAAUUACUGGGCGUAAAGCGUGCGCAGGCGGUUAUGUAAGACAGGUGUGAAAUCCCAGGGCUUAACCUUGGAACUGCAUUUGUGACUGCAUAGCUAGAGUACGGUAGAGGGGGGAUGGAAUUCCGCGUGUAGCAGUGAAAUGCGUAGAUAUGCGGAGGAACACCGAUGGCGAAGGCAAUCCCCCUGGACCUGUACUGACGCUCAU
This 229-nucleotide ribosomal RNA is filed under the name uncultured bacterium. RNAcentral describes it as "partial 16S ribosomal RNA". It matches the Rfam family "Bacterial small subunit ribosomal RNA", at positions 524 to 750 of the family's 1533-position model. The record is from RNAcentral.